This 79-nucleotide microRNA precursor is filed under the name Tursiops truncatus (common bottlenose dolphin). RNAcentral describes it as "microRNA 484 (ENSTTRG00000022171.1)". The stretch from base 5 to 71 matches the Rfam family "mir-484 microRNA precursor family". Lineage: Eukaryota; Metazoa; Chordata; Mammalia; Artiodactyla; Delphinidae. The record is from RNAcentral.
AGCCUCGUCAGGCUCAGUCCCCUCCCGAUAAACCCCUAAAUAGGGACCUUCCCGGGGACCGACCUCGGCUUUUUUGGCG